RNAcentral lists this ribosomal RNA (406 nucleotides) under uncultured bacterium. RNAcentral's name for it is "partial 16S ribosomal RNA". It matches the Rfam family "Bacterial small subunit ribosomal RNA", at positions 29 to 526 of the family's 1533-position model. The record is from RNAcentral.
AUUGAACGCUGGCGGCAGGCCUAACACAUGCAAGUCGAACGAGUGGCGGACGGGUGAGUAAUGUCUGGGAAACUGCCUGAUGGAGGGGGAUAACUACUGGAAACGGUAGCUAAUACCGCAUACCAUCAGAUGUGCCCAGAUGGGAUUAGCUAGUUGGUGGGGUAACGGCUAACCAAGGCGACGAUCCCUAGCUGGUCUGAGAGGAUGACCAGCAAAACUGGAACUGAGAAACGGUCCAGACUACUACGGGAGGCAGCAGUGGGGAAUAUUGCACAAUGGGCGCAAGCCUGAUGCAGCAAUGACGCGGGUAUGAAGAAGGCCUUCGGGGUGUAAAGGACUUUCAGCGGGGAGGCGUUACCCGCAGAAGAAGCACCGGCUAACUCCGUGCCAGCAGCCGCGGUAAUAC